RNAcentral lists this ribosomal RNA (1466 nucleotides) under Promethearchaeota archaeon. RNAcentral describes it as "bacterial SSU rRNA". It matches the Rfam family "Archaeal small subunit ribosomal RNA". The record is from RNAcentral. Lineage: Archaea; Promethearchaeati; Promethearchaeota.
CAACUCUAGUUGAUCCUGCUAGAGGACACUGCUAACGGCUUGGGGUUAAGACAUGCAAGUGCAACGGACUCACUUCCGAGUCUGUCGCGAACGGCUCAGUAGCGUGUCGCUAACCUACCCUGUGGAGGCGGAAAACGCCGGGAAACUGGCGCUAAUCCGCUACAGGGGCGAUGUUCUGGAAAUGAUUUCGCCCUUAAACGGGUGCUUCGGUAUGUGGAGCAUUCCGCCGCAGGACGGGGCGGCACUGGAUCAUACUUGUAAGUGGGGUAACUGCCCACUUAGGUUAUGACCCGAACGGGCGAUGUAAGUCGUGGCCCGGAGAAGGGCACUGAGACAAGGGCCCUAGCCCCACGGGGCGCAGCAGUUACGAAACCUCACCAAUGCGCGAAAGCGUGAGUGGGCCAAGCCGAGUGACGGGGGAUAACUCCGUCUGUGGCGGAUCCGUAGGGUGGACCGCUAGAAAGGAGAGGGCAAGGCUGGUGCCAGCCGCCGCGGUAAAACCAGCUCUUCGAGUGGUGUCCAUGAUUAUUGAGCUUAAAGCGUCCGUAGCCUGUUCAGUAGGUCCCUGCUAAAAUCCGGUCGCCUAACGGUCGGAAGGGUAGGGAUACCGCUGUACUUGGGGGCGGGAGACGACGACGGUACUCCGCAGGUAAGGGUGAAAUCUUAUGAUCUGCGGAGGACCACCAGUGGCGAAGGCGGUCGUCGAGAACGCGCCCGACGGUGAGGGACGAAACCCAGGGGAGCGAAUCGGAUUAGAUACCCGAGUAGUCCUGGGCGUAAACCAUGCCCGUUAAGUGUUGCUACGGCCACGAGCCGUGGCGGUGCUGCAGCAAAAGCGUUAAACGGGCCGCUUGGGAAGUACGGUCGCAAGACUGAAACUUAAAGGAAUUGGCGGGGGAGCACCACAAGGGGUGGAGCUUGCGGUUUAAUUGGACUCAACGCCGGAAAACUUACCCGCCCAGACAGCCGAAUGAGAGCCAGACUGAUGAUCUUGCUCGACGAGCUGAGAGCUGGUGCAUGGCCAUCGUAAAUUCGUGCCGUGAGGUAUCAGCUUAAGUGCUGCAACGAAUGAGACCCUUGCCACCUAAUUGCCAGCCGGGGGCUUCGGCCCUGACGGGGCACAUUAGGGGGACUGCUAGCGAAAAGCUGGAGGAAGGUGAGGGCCACGGUAGGUCCGUAUGCCGCGAUAUGGGCGGGGCCACACGCGUGCUACAAUGGCGAGGACAAUGCGUUACAACACCGAAAGGUGAAGUCAAUCGCGAAACCUCGUCGUAGUCGGAAUCGCGGAUUGCAAUUCAUCCGCGUGAACCUGGAAUCCCUAGUAUCCGCGUGUCACUAACGCGCGGAGAAUACGUCCCUGCUUCUUGCACACACCGCCCGUCGCUCCAUGCGAGCGGUUCUGGGGUGAGGCGCUGUCUGAAAAGGCGGUAACGAAUCUUGGGAUCGCAAGUAGGGAGAAGUCGUAA